This 439-nucleotide ribosomal RNA is filed under the name uncultured bacterium. Its description in RNAcentral is "partial 16S ribosomal RNA". It matches the Rfam family "Bacterial small subunit ribosomal RNA", at positions 338 to 794 of the family's 1533-position model. The record is from RNAcentral.
CCUACGGGGUGCAGCAGUGGGGAAUAUUGCACAAUGGGGGAAACCCUGAUGCAGCGACGCCGCGUGAGUGAGGAAGUAUUUCGGUAUGUAAAGCUCUAUCAGCAGGGAAGAAAAUGACGGUACCUGACUAAGAAGCUCCGGCUAACUACGUGCCAGCAGCCGCGGAAAUACGUAGGGGGCAAGCGUUAUCCGGAUUUACUGGGUGUAAGGGGAGCGUAGACGGCUAAUCAAGUCAGAAGUGAAAAACCAGGGCUCAACUUUGGGACUGGUUUUGAAACUGAGUAGCUAGAGUGCAGGAGAGGUAAGGGGAAUUCCUAGUGUAGCGGUGAAAGGCGUAGAUAUUAGGAGGAACACCAGUGGCGAAGGCGGCUUACUGGACUGUAACUGACGUUGAGGCUCGAAAGCGUGGGGAGCAAACAGGAUUAGAUACCCGGGUAGC